AGUAGUUUCAGGUAAAUAGAAAUCACUCAGGGGCAAGCAAAGGCAGUUUAGUGUCAACACUGUAAACUCACUUGAUACAAAUUAUGUACCCAGCAGCCAAUUUUUACUUGGCAACCAGAACACAGAAGUGUAAGCAGUAUUAAAAUGAUAGGGUUACUAAACAUUUGUUGAUCUGAAUCCUUCAUUUAAGGCAUUAUGCUCUAUGUAAAUUGCAAUCCUUUUGUUUUGCUUCUUGGUGCUAAUUGGAUUGGGAGAUUAAUUAGAUGGCUAUUGUUGGUCAAAUUCUCCACGUUAGAGGGUGCAGGGAACUGAGACUAGGGUUUCUACUGCAGUCUUAAGUUUUAUCUAUCUUGUUCUCUAUUAGUAACUGUUUUUCAAGCAAACUUACCACAGUGGCAGCUGCAAGGAAGGUUUGUUUGGAGAGGCCCUCCAAAAUGUUUACUUGCUGCGGCGCUUUGUUGCUGCUGGACUUAUCUUAUUCUCCAGCUGUGGGAGAGGAUUAUGCAUCACCUUGCUCCUCCUGCGCCUCCAAAUUCUCCUCCUGCAAAACUUCAAAUCUUUUUUAAUACUUGUUCCAGACACUCCUUUUUUUCUUUCUGGCCAGCGUGAUACCAGCUUUGUGAGCCAAGGGGCAAAGAUUGUCCCUUGAAUUCAGACUGUCUGGAGUCCACAGAUCUACCACUGUACAAAGGAGCAACUGAGGAUCACCCAUCCAGUUUUACACGGUGAACAG
RNAcentral lists this long non-coding RNA (733 nucleotides) under Salvator merianae (Argentine black and white tegu). RNAcentral describes it as "lncRNA (ENSSMRG00000007016.1)". Lineage: Eukaryota; Metazoa; Chordata; Lepidosauria; Squamata; Teiidae. The record is from RNAcentral.